AUGGAAGUGAGGAUCCUUUCCCUAGCUGAUCGACUAUGAUUAUACUGUGUGCAAAUGUAAUCCUUUAUCAGAGGAUUCAAAGCCAGAAAUCUGAUCCAU
Non-coding RNA from Triticum aestivum (bread wheat), 99 nucleotides. Lineage: Eukaryota; Viridiplantae; Streptophyta; Magnoliopsida; Poales; Poaceae. The record is from Rfam.